AUUCAGAUGACGAGUCCCCAAAUAGGACGACAUGCGCAUCCUGGAU
RNAcentral lists this non-coding RNA (46 nucleotides) under Trichobilharzia regenti. The record is from RNAcentral. Lineage: Eukaryota; Metazoa; Platyhelminthes; Trematoda; Strigeidida; Schistosomatidae.